RNAcentral lists this long non-coding RNA (221 nucleotides) under Arachis ipaensis. RNAcentral describes it as "long non-coding RNA (AIPA_LNC001190)". The record is from RNAcentral. Lineage: Eukaryota; Viridiplantae; Streptophyta; Magnoliopsida; Fabales; Fabaceae.
AAAAAGAGUUAGUUUUUUUGUUCCUGCGAUUGUGAGCACACGCUGAUGCUGCGAAAAUCCUUUUGCUAGUUCAGAUUGCCAUUUUCCUUCUCAAUUUUGAUAAAGAAAAUUGACAAUUGAGAAAGAUGAUCAACACAAUGCAAGUGACGAGUGAACAUUGACAAUUGAGAAAGAUGAUCAACACAGCAGAGCCACAAAACACACAACAGCACACCAGAACC